This 369-nucleotide ribosomal RNA is filed under the name Brevibacillus sp. RNAcentral's name for it is "bacterial SSU rRNA". It matches the Rfam family "Bacterial small subunit ribosomal RNA", at positions 128 to 482 of the family's 1533-position model. The record is from RNAcentral. Lineage: Bacteria; Bacillati; Bacillota; Bacilli; Caryophanales; Paenibacillaceae.
GCCCGUAAGCUCGGGAUAACAUGGGGAAACUCAUGCUAAUUCCGGAUAGGGUCUUCUCUCGCAUGAGAGGAGACGGAAAGGUGGCGCAAGCUACCACUUACGGAUGGGCCUGCGGCGCAUUAACUAGUUGGUGGGGUAACGGCCUACCAAGGCGACGAUGCGUAUCCGACCUGAAAGGGUGACCGGCCACACUGGGACUGAGACACGGCCCAGACUCCUACGGGAGGCAGCAGUAGGGAAUUUUCCACAAUGGACCAAAGUCUGAUGGAGCAACGCCGCGUGAACGAUGAAGGUCUUCCGAUUGUAAAGUUUUGUUGUCAGAGACCAACAACUACCGUUCAAACAGGGCGGUACCUUGACGGUACCUGA